This 824-nucleotide ribosomal RNA is filed under the name uncultured Streptococcaceae bacterium. Its description in RNAcentral is "bacterial SSU rRNA". It matches the Rfam family "Bacterial small subunit ribosomal RNA", at positions 60 to 867 of the family's 1533-position model. The record is from RNAcentral. Lineage: Bacteria; Bacillati; Bacillota; Bacilli; Lactobacillales; Streptococcaceae.
CACAGGAUGCACCGUAGUUUACUACACCGUAUUCUGUGAGUUGCGAACGGGUGAGUAACGCGUAGGUAACCUGCCUGGUAGCGGGGGAUAACUAUUGGAAACGAUAGCUAAUACCGCAUAAGAACAUUUACUGCAUGGUAGAUGUUUAAAAGGUGCAAAAGCAUCACUACCAGAUGGACCUGCGUUGUAUUAGCUAGUUGGUGAGGUAACGGCUCACCAAGGCAACGAUACAUAGCCGACCUGAGAGGGUGAUCGGCCACACUGGGACUGAGACACGGCCCAGACUCCUACGGGAGGCAGCAGUAGGGAAUCUUCGGCAAUGGGGGGAACCCUGACCGAGCAACGCCGCGUGAGUGAAGAAGGUUUUCGGAUCGUAAAGCUCUGUUGUUAAGGAAGAACGUGUGUGAGAGUGGAAAGUUCACACAGUGACGGUACUUAACCAGAAAGGGACGGCUAACUACGUGCCAGCAGCCGCGGUAAUACGUAGGUCCCGAGCGUUGUCCGGAUUUAUUGGGCGUAAAGCGAGCGCAGGCGGUUAGAUAAGUCUGAAGUGAAAGGCAGUGGCUCAACCAUUGUAGGCUUUGGAAACUGUUUAACUUGAGUGCAGAAGGGGAGAGUGGAAUUCCAUGUGUAGCGGUGAAAUGCGUAGAUAUAUGGAGGAACACCGGUGGCGAAAGCGGCUCUCUGGUCUGUAACUGACGCUGAGGCUCGAAAGCGUGGGGAGCGAACAGGAUUAGAUACCCUGGUAGUCCACGCCGUAAACGAUGAGUGCUAGGUGUUAGGUCCUUUCCGGGACUUAGUGCCGCAGCUAACGCAUUAAGCAC